Long non-coding RNA from Zingiber officinale, 1044 nucleotides. RefSeq lists it as uncharacterized. The record is from RefSeq and is a predicted model, not a curated record. The transcript has 5 exons. NCBI's taxonomy places the organism in Eukaryota, Viridiplantae, Streptophyta, Magnoliopsida, Zingiberales, Zingiberaceae.
AAUCCCUAAAAUCGUUGGUCCCUCGCCAUUUCUCCCGAUUGCGCCGACGGUCUCAGCUUCGGCGCACGCCGACACCCGAUCGCUGGCGCCAUGUCGCGAGUCGAGUCUCCGAUCUUCUCCACUCCUUAUCGGAGGUCUCAUCUAUAGUGUUCUCCUUCGAAAUGCCACUUCACGCAAGGGAUCUUCGAUCGUGUGAGGAUCGAGAUCUGAGCUCCGGUGACGCUGGAGUUGAAUUGCCUGUUCCAGUGCUCAAUCUUGGUUGAAGACUUGCGCUCCAAGCGGCUGCCUCACCUUCCCGAGCCCUAGAGCUGAGCUGAGUUCGUCGGAUUUCCCUGCGCUGCUGGUGGUGGUUUCUGUCAUCGAGUGGCUCACCGUAAAGGACUUGGCCACAAAUUCCAGCAGCAAAUUUCGCCGGUGGGCAGUCUGAGCAACUAUUCUCUGGCCGUGAACCACUAGCUUUGUAGAAGCUCCGAUUGUGGAUCUGUGGCAGCAGGCAUCACCACUGUGCUUGUGCCGGCAAUAGCACCUCCUGGCAGUGGGCCAACCGAGGACUUUGAUCGAGGCUAGUGUCGUGAUGAAGGUGACAUCGGAUUCAGACUACUUUUAGAGGUAUUUGGUACACCUGAUCUUCUAUUACUAACCUAGGAUAUGGUUUCAGGUAUGUACACUUAUUAUGAUAUCACUGUUGUAUUUGUUAUUUUGCCUACGAGACUGUAUACCUUUGUAUCUCUAGUUCUUUACUAUACUCAUGCAUUAUCUGUUCUAUUACCCUUUGAGUCUUAGUACUCACCACUCCGUAAAUUGAUUUAUUUCGCCAGGUAUUAGGUAAAGGCUUACGGAGUCACUUGGAGAACAUGUCCGCCAGUCCCACGUCACAUCUGAGGACGAUUUUCUGAUUUUGGUUUUUUAUAUUAUUUGCAUUAUUGGUUUUAUACUUGUUCUUGUAUUUUUAUGGAGUUUAGUUUUGUGAUAUCUUGUACUUGAAUUGAUGUAGUUGUCGUGUCAAGCCGGACCGACUUGCAGUUAGUUUUUUUGUUCGUUUCA